This 617-nucleotide long non-coding RNA is filed under the name Cricetulus griseus (Chinese hamster). Its description in RNAcentral is "lncRNA (ENSCGRG00015042968.1)". Lineage: Eukaryota; Metazoa; Chordata; Mammalia; Rodentia; Cricetidae. The record is from RNAcentral.
GGGAUGCAACGAAAUACACGAAACUAUGUUUAUGGAGUCGUUCCUAACGACGCACAAAAUCUUUUGUAGUUCAAAGUCCGGAUACAACGAAAUACACAAAAGUAGGUUUAUGGAAACCUUCAAACAAACCAAUAACUAUGUUGUAGUUCCAAAGUCCGGUUACAACGAAAUACAGGAAACUAGGUUUAUGGAAUCAAAUAUAAAUAAGCACUAACAGAGUUUUAGUUCCAAAGUCCGUAUACUACGAAAUACACAAAACUAGGUUUAUGGAAUCGUUCAUAACGACCCACUAACUCUCUUGUAGUUUAAGAUCCGGAUAUAUCGAAAUACACAAAACUAGGUUUUUGGAAUCGUUCAUAACGACCCACUAACUCUCUUGUAGUUUAAAAUCCGGAUAUAUCGAAAUACACAAAACUAGGUUUUUGGAAUCGUUUAUAACAACCCAAUAACACUGUUGUAGUUCCAAAGUCCAUAUACAACGAAAUACACAAAACCAGGUUUAUGGAAAAUUUCAAACAACUCAAUAACUCUGUUGUAGUUCCAACGUCAGGAUACAUCGAAAUACAAGGAACUAGGUUUAUGGAAUUUUACAUAAAUAAGAACUAAUUGUGUUUCAC